Molecule: non-coding RNA, 26 nt
Filed under: Mus musculus (house mouse)
Lineage: Eukaryota; Metazoa; Chordata; Mammalia; Rodentia; Muridae
Source: RNAcentral
UACUUUUAACAGUGGUCACCUUGUGC